This 98-nucleotide signal recognition particle RNA is filed under the name Candidatus Rhabdochlamydia oedothoracis. RNAcentral's name for it is "4.5S sRNA component of Signal Recognition Particle (SRP)". It matches the Rfam family "Bacterial small signal recognition particle RNA". From Rfam's summary of the family: The signal recognition particle (SRP) is a universally conserved ribonucleoprotein involved in the co-translational targeting of proteins to membranes. Archaeal SRP consists of a 7S RNA and homologues of the eukaryotic SRP19 and SRP54 proteins. The record is from RNAcentral. Lineage: Bacteria; Pseudomonadati; Chlamydiota; Chlamydiia; Parachlamydiales; Candidatus Rhabdochlamydiaceae.
CCGGGGAUCUUUUGGAACUGCAGAACCUGAACCAGGUCAGAACUGGAAAGUAGCAGCCUUAAGGAAUUUCUGUUGUGCUAGAAAUUAAUCUCCGGCUU